AAGAAGAUGCCAGCUGUCUUAGCAAGGAGGAAGGGGUACAUGGUGGUUGGGUGGGAAACCAAGUCUUCAUCACAGGAAUUUACCUUGGAGGGUAUUAUGCAUUGAAUGUUUGUGUCCCCUGCAAAUUCAUAUUUUGAAAUUCUAAAGCCCAAGGUGAUCGUAUCGGAGGUGGGGCCUUUGGGAAGUGAUUAGGUCAUAAGUGUAGAGCCCUCGUGAAUGGUAUUAGUGACCGAAUAAAAGGCACCCCAAAUAACUCUCUCACCCUCUUUUUUCUGGGUGGGGAGACAAUGAGAAAAUCACUGUCUGCAGCAUGGAAAAAGAUCCUCACCAGAACCAGAUCAUGUUGGCACCCGAAUCUUGGACUUCCAGCUUCCAGAACUGUUUUUCUUUUUCUUUAACAGCUAAACAAGCACUGGCCUCAAGAUAAGCAAUAUUAAAACAAUUACAGCUCAUCCAGCUGGCAGAUGCUGAUUAACUGACCCCCUGUUUCACCAGCCACAACUACAGCUUGGAUUGGACAAGGAACUGAUUUCAGUAACUUUCUCCUGAUAAGAAGACCAGCGACCAUGGACUGCUUCUGGCCAAUUUACAGAGAUUGUGGACUCGUAUGCUUUCAUGUCCUGAAAAGACCCUUUGAUGCAUAGGGCCUAAUUAUAAUACAGUUAAAUGUUGUAUCUCCACCCCAAAGUGAACAUGGGUCAUAUGUCACAUGCAUGUGUGUUAAACACACAUGCAUCAGGACCUCCUUCAUGAAUAUUCAUAGCUUCUCCUGUAACCUGUUGAAUAUGUAUGUUUAGCCAAAACAUUUACCAUAAAUAUCUUACCUCAACCCCUCCUUCAAAGUGCUUCUCUCUGGGCUGUUGGCCAGAGGCUGUGCUUCUCAGCCUGCGGAAUGGCCACUUUGUAGGCUGUAACCCUUUGCAAUAAAUAAAACCUCCCUCUUUUCUUUUCUAAAUUUAUAUAUUGUGAUUUUUUUUUUUUUUUUUUAGCUAACAUUACAGACUUGGGGGUAGAAUGGGAACUGCCUUCCAAGACUUUGUUAUUGGCUGAAUUCUGUACCCCCAAAAGUCAUAUGUUGAAGUCCUGACCCCCAGUACCUCAGACUGUGAAUAUAUUUGGUGAUAUGGUCUGUAAAGAAGUAAAUAAGUUAAAAAUGAGGCUAUCAGGGUCAGCCCUAAUUCAAUAAGACUGGUUGUCUUGUAAGAAGAGAUUAAGACGCACACAUACACAGAGACAAGAUGACCAUCUACAAGCUAAGGAGGGAGGCAUCAGAAGAAACCAGUUCUGCUGACACCUUGAUCUCAGACUCCCAGCCUCCAGACUUGUGAGACAAUAAAAAGUCUAUUGUUUAAGCCAC
Molecule: long non-coding RNA, 1357 nt
Filed under: Homo sapiens (human)
Lineage: Eukaryota; Metazoa; Chordata; Mammalia; Primates; Hominidae
Description: HSALNT0227380
Source: RNAcentral